RNA transcript from Ostrea edulis (European flat oyster), 1780 nucleotides. RefSeq lists it as uncharacterized. The transcript is spliced from 5 exons. Lineage: Eukaryota; Metazoa; Mollusca; Bivalvia; Ostreida; Ostreidae. The record is from RefSeq and is a predicted model, not a curated record.
AUGACCCCCGCACGUAAAAUGAUGUAUGCAAACAUUUUAUCUCAUGUGGUUGGUACGUGUUAGGACAGUCAGAUAAUUUUGGAAUUUAAAGGAAGGGAAGGUCACCGUGAAGAACAUUCAAAUCAAAUUUACUUCAUUCUUUCAGGAGAAAAAUAAAACACAGGGAAAUGUACAAACUAUUCAUGACUGCCUUUCCAGCAGGUCUGGUUGUUGUCUGCUUAAUUCUACAAUUUAUGGUUUAGGUGCUAAUGCACAGGACUGCCAAACUGCUAAACUACAGGCUUGCGUUGAAAGCUUCAGGUCUGAUGUGUUAUCAGCGGGCCGCGACAAAACAAGACUGUGCAGUGCCGCCAAUACCUAUUUGAAUUGCGUGAAUAAAGUUGUCAGUGACUGCAACCUGGACUCCAGCACACACUCAGUCAGCCAGGCAAUCACUGCUGCCAAACAUGAAUUAUCUCUAGCCGGAUGUGGAAAUGGUGCCAGUGGAUCAGUUUACAGUAUCUUGACCAUUGUUGUAGGAAUUUGCCUUCAUAGACUGUUUUAAAAAAUCAUCACAACUUCGAGUGUUUUAAGGUAGUAAAAUUCCCAUAUGACGUCAUGCGGUUUUUCAAAAUUGUUAUCUAUAGGUACUUUCAGAAUUUCAUUCCAUGUUAAAUUACUGAGGAAGUUUAUAUUUUCUACAAAUAAUCAAUUAGUAGUAUCUGUAUCUACAUGUAUAUCUAAAAAUAAUGUUUUCAUGGGCAAUAACUACUACUGUCUCUGUUGUUUAUCUAUUGUGAAUAGCUUUCGCUGAUAUCCAUAAUUAAUUCAUAUACUUUUUCAAAAGUGAAAUUGUUGAAAUUAGAAUUUUGCCAUUUUAACCAAUUGUAUGUAUAAAUAUUAAAAGUAGCAUUAUUACUAUUAUUAGUAUGUUGUUAAAUGAAAAUAUACGAUUUUCUGAUGUUGACAUAUAUUUCACUCAAUGUAUAUCUGAUAUCUUUUUGUAGGUAAUAGCACAUUUUUUCUCUCGUUAUUGAUUGAAUUGUACUAUAUGUAUAUUAAGGUAGCUCCACACACGCAGUUUUAUCUGAUAAGUUUAAAAGGUGUAUUUAUUUUCAUUCAUUAGAGUUAUAACUAACAAAUUAUCCAAUAAAAUACAUAGGUCAUCACACUUUUUAAGAUGCGAGGCGUAUAUAAACAGAAUAGUAUAUCACCGUCAGAAACUUACAAUUACAACAGUGUUAUCAAAAUUUCAUACAAACUGGUUAUGACGAUAUAAUAGCAUUCGUACCAAUGUCAUGAAACUGUAUCUUCACCAAAAUAUAGAAAAUGUCUGUAAAAAAUAAAGGAAAUCUUUCUUGAUAAAGAAAUCAAUAAAAAAAACCCAGAGUUAUUGCCCCUGGAUACAAGAUUUUAAAACAUAUAAUGUAUUAUUCAUCAAUAACUUAGACUUUUGAAAUAGUUUACUUUUAACAAUAUUUUUUACAAUAACUAUUGGAAAAGACUUUAACAAAUUUGAUGUUCCUAUCAUGCAUACAUCUAAAUAAAUCAUUGAUUUUGCAAAAUCGGAUGACAUCGCAGGAGGGUGGAAUUACUUUAAGUGAAAGUUAGUUUUUCAACCUUGAACCAUUAAUUUUGAUAGAUAACUCAAGGAUGGAGCCACGUUGUUGAACAACUAUACCUAAAUAUUCCAAUGAGACCGUGGGUGUACUUAGUAUAUUUUAAUAUGUUCAAACAAGUAAUUAUAUCAUUUUGAAUGUGUGCUGACUUUAUGUAUUGUGAAAUAAAACCUUUAUCUACA